GACGAACGCUGGCGGCGUGCUUAACACAUGCAAGUCGAACGGGAAGGCCCUGCUUUGGUGGGGUGCUCGAGUGGCGAACGGGGGAGUAACACGUGAGUAACCUGUCCUUGACUUUGGGAUAACUUCAGGAAACUGGGGCUAAUACCGGAUAGGAGCUCCUGCUGCAGGGUGGGGGUGGGUAGGUUUCGGCGGUUGGGGGUGGACUCGCGGCUUAUCAGCUUGUUGGUGGGGUAGUGGCUGAGCAAGGCUAUGACAGGUAGCAGGGCUGAGCGGGUGAGCGGAUCCAUUGGGAUGGAGCUGCGGCACAGCCUCGUCCGGGACGCAGCGGUGCGGAAUAUUGCACAAUGGGCGGAGGCAUGAUGUGGCCCCGCAGCGCGCGGGAUGAGGGCAUUGGCUUAGUAAUCCGCUUCUGCCUGUGACGAAGCGUGAAUGACAGUAAUGGGUAAAGAAGCACCGGCUAACUACGUG
This 468-nucleotide ribosomal RNA is filed under the name uncultured bacterium. RNAcentral describes it as "partial 16S ribosomal RNA". It matches the Rfam family "Bacterial small subunit ribosomal RNA", at positions 28 to 507 of the family's 1533-position model. The record is from RNAcentral.